Molecule: transfer RNA, 96 nt
Filed under: Blumeria hordei DH14
Lineage: Eukaryota; Fungi; Ascomycota; Leotiomycetes; Helotiales; Erysiphaceae
Description: tRNA-Arg for anticodon CCG
Rfam family: tRNA
About the family: Transfer RNA (tRNA) molecules are approximately 80 nucleotides in length. Their secondary structure includes four short double-helical elements and three loops (D, anti-codon, and T loops).
Source: Rfam by way of RNAcentral
GGCCUGGUGGCCUAAUGGUAAGGCGUUGCUUUCCGGUAGACGUGGUAAACACGUUGAGCUUGGCAAAGAUUGCGGGUUCGAGUCCCGUCUGGGUCG